CCUACGGGAGAAAGCAGGGGACCUUCGGGCCUUGCGCUAUCAGAUGAGCCUAGGUCGGAUUAGCUAGUUGGUGGGGUAAUGGCUCACCAAGGCGACGAUCCGUAACUGGUCUGAGAGGAUGAUCAGUCACACUGGAACUGAGACACGGUCCAGACUCCUACGGGAGGCAGCAGUGGGGAAUAUUGGACAAUGGGCGAAAGCCUGAUCCAGCCAUGCCGCGUGUGUGAAGAAGGUCUUCGGAUUGUAAAGCACUUUAAGUUGGGAGGAAGGGCAGUAAAUUAAUACUUUGCUGUUUUGACGUUACCGACAGAAUAAGCACCGGCUAACUCUGUGCCAGCAGCCCGCGGUAAUACAGAGGGUGCAAGCGUUAAUCGGAAUUACUGGGCGUAAAGCGCGCGUAGGUGGUUCGUUAAGUUGGAUGUGAAAUCCCCCGGGCCUCAACCUGGGAACUGCAUUCAAAACUGACGAGCUAGAGUAUGGUAGAGGGUGGUGGAAUUUUC
RNAcentral lists this ribosomal RNA (500 nucleotides) under uncultured bacterium. RNAcentral describes it as "bacterial SSU rRNA". It matches the Rfam family "Bacterial small subunit ribosomal RNA", at positions 193 to 671 of the family's 1533-position model. The record is from RNAcentral.